UGCAGUCGAGCGAACAGACGAGGAGCUUGCUCCUCUGACGUUAGCGGCGGACGGGUGAGUAACACGUGGAUAACCUACCUAUAAGACUGGGAUAACUUCGGGAAACCGGAGCUAAUACCGGAUAAUAUAUUGAACCGCAUGGUUCAAUAGUGAAAGACGGUUUUGCUGUCACUUAUAGAUGGAUCCGCGCCGCAUUAGCUAGUUGGUAAGGUAACGGCUUACCAAGGCAACGAUGCGUAGCCGACCUGAGAGGGUGAUCGGCCACACUGGAACUGAGACACGGUCCAGACUCCUACGGGAGGCAGCAGUAGGGAAUCUUCCGCAAUGGGCGAAAGCCUGACGGAGCAACGCCGCGUGAGUGAUGAAGGUCUUCGGAUCGUAAAACUCUGUUAUUAGGGAAGAACAAAUGUGUAAGUAACUAUGCACGUCUUGACGGUACCUAAUCAGAAAGCCACGGCUAACUACGUGCCAGCAGCCGCGGUAAUACGUAGGUGGCAAGCGUUAUCCGGAAUUAUUGGGCGUAAAGCGCGCGUAGGCGGUUUUUUAAGUCUGAUGUGAAAGCCCACGGCUCAACCGUGGAGGGUCAUUGGAAACUGGAAAACUUGAGUGCAGAAGAGGAAAGUGGAAUUCCAUGUGUAGCGGUGAAAUGCGCAGAGAUAUGGAGGAACACCAGUGGCGAAGGCGACUUUCUGGUCUGUAACUGACGCUGAUGUGCGAAAGCGUGGGGAUCAAACAGGAUUAGAUACCCUGGUAGUCCACGCCGUAAACGAUGAGUGCUAAGCGGUUAGGGGGUUUCCGCCCCUUACUGCUGCAGCUAACGCAUUAAGCACUCCGCCUGGGGAGUACGACCGCAAGGUUGAACUCAAAGGAAUUGACGGGGACC
Molecule: ribosomal RNA, 883 nt
Filed under: Staphylococcus epidermidis
Lineage: Bacteria; Bacillati; Bacillota; Bacilli; Caryophanales; Staphylococcaceae
Description: bacterial SSU rRNA
Rfam family: Bacterial small subunit ribosomal RNA
Source: RNAcentral